AAAGGGUUAUACCUUACUACAGUAGUUUUCUUGAUUAUUUAUACGAGAAGAUGAUUGGAUAUUAAUGUGAUUAUUAAAAACAAAAUAUUGUUUGACUUAUUUUGAAUACAGCAUCAGAUAUUUAUUGGCAAAAAAACAUUCUGUAUUGUUCUUAAGCAUUUCUAUUUAGUAAACUUAGUUUGCAGAGACUUUCACCAUGUCACAGUAUGUGUAUGUGACAAAACGGGAAAUGCUAGAAAAAUGUAUUACUAUUGGUUUGUGAAUGAGUGUGUAAGAGAGAGGGUGCAGGAUGCUCUUAAUGUAUUGUCUCAAUAUCACUUUCAAAUAAAGAUGUUUGAAAUAGUGUCUGCAAUCUACAUUUUUGAUCUGCCUAAAUAGCUGCUGGCUUCAGCAGAACAUUAAUGCAAAUCUAAUGUACCUGCUGGUAUGAUUAGCUGAAUCAAAUGAUGGCAUUUAAGUAACACCUAAAUAAUCUUAAUUAGGAUCUUCAACUCAUCUUACCACUUAGAACUCUACAGAUGGAUAGUCUUAAUUAUCAGCCUUUUGAUUAGGAUAACAGCCCUAAUCAAGAUGAUGUGGGCCUGAUAGACAGAGUAUCAGUAAAUUAAUGACUGCUGUUAAGUGGGAACAUAAGCAAAAAAUAUAGAGCCGCUUUCUGUGAGAGACAGGGUGAUGUCUAUGCAAGGAAAUUUAAAUUGUUAGCAAAAAGAUCAGAGCAAAUAAUUGUAAAUUGGGAUUA
RNAcentral lists this long non-coding RNA (739 nucleotides) under Homo sapiens (human). RNAcentral's name for it is "non-protein coding lnc-DAOA-9:4". The record is from RNAcentral. Lineage: Eukaryota; Metazoa; Chordata; Mammalia; Primates; Hominidae.